Molecule: ribosomal RNA, 422 nt
Filed under: uncultured bacterium
Lineage: Bacteria
Description: bacterial SSU rRNA
Rfam family: Bacterial small subunit ribosomal RNA
Source: RNAcentral
UGAGGAAUAUUGGGCAAUGCCCGCAAGGGUGACCCAGCAACGCCGCGUGGAGGAUGAACGUCGUAAGAUUGUAAACUCCUGUUAGAGGGGAAGAAUAGUACCGGUUGGACCGGUAUAUGACUGUACCCUCAGAGAAAGCCCCGGCUAACUACGUGCCAGCAGCCGCGGUAAUACGUAGGGGGCAAGCGUUGUCCGGAUUUACUGGGUGUAAAGGGCGCGCAGGCGGGAUAAAAAGUCAGUGGUGAAAUCCUACAGCUUAACUGUAGAACUGCCUUUGAUACUUUUAUUCUUGAGUUCGGGAGAGAGAGACGGAAUUCCAGGUGUAGUGGUGAAAUACGUAGAUAUCUGGAAGAACACCAGUUGCGAAGGCGGUCUCUUGGUCCGACACUGACGCUGAGGCGCGAAAGCGUGGGGAGCAAACA